CAGCCGGCGAGUCCUCAACUGACGCUAAUGCUCGAAAGUGCGGGUAUCGAACAGGAUUAGAUACCCUGGUAGUCCGCACGGUAAACGAUGGAUGCCCGCUGUUGGCGAUAUAUUGUCAGCGGCCAAGCGAAAGCGUUAAGCAUCCCACCUGGGGAGUACGCCGGCAACGGUGAAACUCAAAGGAAUUGACGGGGGCCCGCACAAGCGGAGGAACAUGUGGUUUAAUUCGAUGAUACGCGAGGAACCUUACCCGGGCUUGAACUGCAGCAGAACGAUAGAGAGAUCUUGAGGCCCUUCGGGGCUGCUGUGGAGGUGCUGCAUGGUUGUCGUCAGCUCGUGCCGUGGGGUGUCGGCUUAAGUGCCAUAACGAGCGCAACCCCUUCCGUCAGUUGCCAUCACUUUGGGUGGGCACUCUGGCGGUACUGCCACCGUAAGGUGUGAGGAAGGUGGGGAUGACGUCAAAUCAGCACGGCCCUUACGUCCGGGGCUACACACGUGUUACAAUGGGUGGUACAGAGAGUCAACCGCCGGCAACGUCGGUUUAAUCAAUAAAGCCAUCCUCAGUUCGGAUUGGGGUCUGCAACCCGACCCCAUGAAGCUG
RNAcentral lists this ribosomal RNA (601 nucleotides) under uncultured bacterium. Its description in RNAcentral is "bacterial SSU rRNA". It matches the Rfam family "Bacterial small subunit ribosomal RNA", at positions 722 to 1328 of the family's 1533-position model. The record is from RNAcentral.